RNAcentral lists this ribosomal RNA (255 nucleotides) under uncultured Actinomycetales bacterium. Its description in RNAcentral is "partial 16S ribosomal RNA". It matches the Rfam family "Bacterial small subunit ribosomal RNA", at positions 78 to 334 of the family's 1533-position model. The record is from RNAcentral. Lineage: Bacteria; Bacillati; Actinomycetota; Actinomycetes; Actinomycetales.
CGUUGUGGGGUACUCGAGUGGCGAACGGGUGAGUAACACGUGAGUAACCUACCCUUGACUUUGGGAUAACUUCAGGAAACUGGGGCUAAUACCGGAUAGGAGUUCCUGCUGCAUGGUGGGGGUUGGAAAGUUUCGGCGGUUGGGGAUGGACUCGCGGCUUAUCAGCUUGUUGGUGGGGUAGUGGCUCACCAAGGCUUUGACGGGUAGCCGGCCUGAGAGGGUGACCGGCCACAUUGGGACUGAGAUACGGCCCAG